CAACAACCCAUCCAUCGCCACGCUCCCUCUCAUCUCCUUGAUCGCCGGUUGCCCUUCCCGAAAUCACCACUCCGGCCGACUGCAUCUGCGCAGAUGCAGCUGCGCCAGUUCUGCCGCUCCGCCUACGAGAAAUGGCGCUCGUCGCCGCCCAGAUCGACCACCUCCGCGCCCUCGUCGCGGCACCUCGCCCGCGUCCGCACCUACCAGCUGACCUGCCUCCCUCCGCCUCGUUGUCCGGCUCCCCGACAGCGACGAGGACGACGAUUACUGUCCGGCGCUCCGCUGCUACAACGAGGAGUACCACUACGAGGACGGGCAGGAGGGGAGCGAGGAGGAUGCCGUGGCGUGGAUCUGGAACGCCGGAUCUGCCUCCUCGAGAACGGACGAGAUAGGGAUGUAGGUGAAUCGUCCAUGGAGGAAGAGAAUGCUCCCCACCUGUAUGCAGAUGGGGCAUUAUCGCUGGACUUGGCCGGACAGGAAACAAGCUGAUUUUGUGCUGACAAGGCGUCACAUGAGGAGACUGGAAAAAAUGCAGACGAGGCCUUGCUGCCGGACUCGCCAAGACUUCCUCCAAGUUCGUGGUGUUUAAGGAAAGGAGGGCAGGUUCGUAGGGGGUUAACAAGCAAGAGAAGUUGGUCAAAGGCAGGCUUCAGUUAAAACUGAUUUAGAACCGGAUGAACAAUGCCGACAUUGCAUAGUUGUAUGCCAUCUAGGGCUGUCUCAAUUUCAUAUCACCCGGAGUUGUCUAAUGUCUCGGAAUAUGCUGAUCUCCGGAGGUAAUAAAUUUUACAUUACUUAGCAUACUUAGAUGAAAAGUUAAAUCAUGCAUGUGUUCGGAAACCAAGUUCAAAAUCAUGAUGUGUUAUCGGUUCCUUUAAUUUCUAAGUUGUGAGCUCUUUUUUGGG
Long non-coding RNA from Triticum dicoccoides, 905 nucleotides. RefSeq lists it as uncharacterized. The record is from RefSeq and is a predicted model, not a curated record. The transcript is spliced from 3 exons. Lineage: Eukaryota; Viridiplantae; Streptophyta; Magnoliopsida; Poales; Poaceae.